This 253-nucleotide ribosomal RNA is filed under the name uncultured bacterium. RNAcentral's name for it is "partial 16S ribosomal RNA". It matches the Rfam family "Bacterial small subunit ribosomal RNA", at positions 524 to 776 of the family's 1533-position model. The record is from RNAcentral.
UACAGAGGUCUCAAGCGUUGUUCGGAUUCAUUGGGCGUAAAGGGUGUGUAGGCGGCGCGCUAAGUCGGGUGUGAAAUUUCGGAGCUUAACUCCGAAACUGCAUUCGAUACUGGCGUGCUUGAGGACUGGAGAGGAGACUGGAAUUCAUGGUGUAGCAGUGAAAUGCGUAGAGAUCAUGAGGAAGACCAGUGGCGAAGGCGGGUCUCUGGACAGUUCCUGACACUGAGGCACGAAGGUCAGGGGAGCAAACGGG